GCCCUCGUAGCCCAAUGGUAGGGCGUCAGACUUCUACUUCUCCGAAGUCGGACAUAAGUAGAUCUGAAGGUUGCGGGUUCGAGUCCCGCCGGGGGUA
RNAcentral lists this transfer RNA (97 nucleotides) under [Emmonsia] crescens. Its description in RNAcentral is "Emmonsia crescens tRNA". It matches the Rfam family "tRNA". Rfam says of the family: Transfer RNA (tRNA) molecules are approximately 80 nucleotides in length. Their secondary structure includes four short double-helical elements and three loops (D, anti-codon, and T loops). Further hydrogen bonds mediate the characteristic L-shaped molecular structure. tRNAs have two regions of fundamental functional importance: the anti-codon, which is responsible for specific mRNA codon recognition, and the 3' end, to which the tRNAs corresponding amino acid is attached (by aminoacyl-tRNA synthetases). tRNAs cope with the degeneracy of the genetic code in two manners: having more than one tRNA (with a specific anti-codon) for a particular amino acid; and 'wobble' base-pairing, i.e. permitting non-standard base-pairing at the 3rd anti-codon position. The record is from Rfam by way of RNAcentral. Lineage: Eukaryota; Fungi; Ascomycota; Eurotiomycetes; Onygenales; Ajellomycetaceae.